CUGGCCUACGGGACGCAGCAGUGAGGAAUAUUGGUCAAUGGGCGAGAGCCUGAAAGAGCCAAGUCGCGUGAGGGAGUACUGCCCUAUGGGUUGUAAACCUCUUUUGUCGGGGAGCAAAAGCCGGACGUGUCCGUCUGUGAGAGUACCCGAAGAAAAAGCAUCGGCUAACUCCGUGCCAGCAGCCGCGGUAAUACGGAGGAUGCGAGCGUUAUCCGGAUUUAUUGGGUUUAAAGGGUGCGCAGGCGGAUUUUUAAGUCAGCGGUCAAAUCGUGGGGCUCAACCCCAUCCAGCAGUUGAAACGGGGG
Molecule: ribosomal RNA, 305 nt
Filed under: uncultured bacterium
Lineage: Bacteria
Description: bacterial SSU rRNA
Rfam family: Bacterial small subunit ribosomal RNA
Source: RNAcentral